UACAGAGGUCCCAAGCGUUGUUCGGAUUCACUGGGCGUAAAGGGUGCGUAGGUGGCCAGGUAAGUUCGGUGUGAAAGCUCGGAGCUUAACUCCGAAAUGGCAUUGAAUACUAUCUGGCUAGAGGGUCGGAGGGGAGACUGGAAUUCUCGGUGUAGCAGUGAAAUGCGUAGAUAUCGAGAGGAACAUCAGUGGCGAAGGCGGUCUGCUGGGCCGUUGCUGACGCUGAGGCGCGACAGCGUGGGGAGCAAACAGG
This 253-nucleotide ribosomal RNA is filed under the name uncultured bacterium. RNAcentral describes it as "partial 16S ribosomal RNA". It matches the Rfam family "Bacterial small subunit ribosomal RNA", at positions 524 to 776 of the family's 1533-position model. The record is from RNAcentral.